RNAcentral lists this transfer-messenger RNA (387 nucleotides) under [Mycoplasma] gypis. RNAcentral describes it as "Metamycoplasma gypis Standard tmRNA". It matches the Rfam family "transfer-messenger RNA". Rfam says of the family: Bacterial tmRNA, also known as 10Sa RNA or SsrA, is named for its dual tRNA and mRNA-like properties. Its role is to liberate the mRNA from a stalled ribosome. Lineage: Bacteria; Bacillati; Mycoplasmatota; Mycoplasmoidales; Metamycoplasmataceae. The record is from RNAcentral.
GGGGGUGUAAUGGCUUCGACAGGCAAGAGCAGCUCCAAAGUGCAGUGGUGUGGCAGACCAUAAUUGCUUCUAGGCUUUCAAUGACCGGAAAAACUAGUGAAGAAAAAGACAUGGAAGUUUCAACAUUCAUGUUAAAUCGUCAAUCAAACCUAUUAUUUGCUUAAUUAACGCAGAAUAGUCAGUUUUGGUAUGUCCGAUACCAAAAACUGUUGUCAGGACUCGGAUAAAAUAAAUGCGGUAUUUAUUUUAUUGACUUACCCAACCGUCGCUGUAAGGAUUUUUUGUUUAUUUAUAGUUUUUAUGGCGUAUUUUUUAAAUAAACUAAACUGUAGUACUUAAGAGUAAGUUUUUGCGUGGACCGGGGUUCAAUUCCCCGCAUCUCCACCA